This 324-nucleotide unclassified non-coding RNA is filed under the name Hevea brasiliensis (rubber tree). The record is from RNAcentral. Lineage: Eukaryota; Viridiplantae; Streptophyta; Magnoliopsida; Malpighiales; Euphorbiaceae.
AAAUAAAUAAAGAAGCAACACAAUCAAGAGCUCAGUUAGCAGUACUGCAAUAAUUUACAGCAUGGAUUACUAGAGAACAAAAAACAGGGGAAAGAACUGCAAGUAUGUACCUCUUGAUGGGUAAAGCAACAAGUAGUCUGUCGAGAAUCUAAUCAUCCAUUUUCAUGUGCAUUCUGCUAACAUAUGAUCAAUUAUGCUACAUGCAACUGGGGAAAAAAAAGAUGUAUUCUGGGAUCAGGUGCUGAAGAGAGGUCAGUUGUACGUAUACCUUCAUGGAAACAACAUUUGUAUGUGUUGCAAAAUGAAACAAUAGAUAUCCAAUUG